Pogonomyrmex barbatus (red harvester ant) is the source of this 875-nucleotide long non-coding RNA. Lineage: Eukaryota; Metazoa; Arthropoda; Insecta; Hymenoptera; Formicidae. The record is from RefSeq and is a predicted model, not a curated record.
ACUUCUUAAAGUUUAAAUCACCUAUUGUGGACCGACACUAACAGUCGACUUUGUGCUGUUGGGUGUAUCCAACCUGUUGUCCUAGCUUCUAAUUUAAGAAAGUGAUCAGCAACAUCUAGUUCUCAAAAGAGUGAGAUAGAAAAUGAAUUUUGUAAAGAUAAAUAUGAUAAAAAGAAAAAAGUAAAAAAAAGGAGUUCAAAAGGAAUUAGGUGAAUGGUGUUUUACGAGAAGAUGCUAGACGCAGGAAAGAAGCAAGGGAACAGCAACACAAAGAGAUGGAAUGCAUCAAGAUAAUACUGGAUAAGCUUUAUCAGCAAUAAUUAUUCAUUUUCUGGAAAGAACUUUGUACGAUUCUCUUGUAUAGACAUCCACAAAUCCGAAUUUUUAAAUAUUCUGGAAUUAUUCACAGAACCUGCGAAUCCCACAAAGCAAUCUGUGAACACGAGAUCUGCAUCGCAAAUAGCUUGUAAAGUAAGCAUAUAUUCGCAUUUCCUAGUUCUAUAUGAUUCAGCAUGAAGCUAGAUAGAUAAAAACAUAAAAAUAAGAUAAAUUAUUGUAAAACAACAAAAAAAUAAUUAAAACAGUAUAAAAAUAAAAUAGUUUUACAUGUGGAGCAAGGAUAGGUAUGUGCGAACCACCAAUAGCUCUUAUGACAUCUGGACACCAAUUCCACUAAAUCUAUUCUUCACAGAAUGUAAUUUAUUUCUUUGUAGCUACACAAUAACAUUAUCUGCUAUGUUAUUCAAAGCAUACACUAUUCUACGAAAAGAAUCAUGUAAAAUAGAUUUUCCCAUGUUGAAACGAUCUGCAAUAGAUAUAACACUAAUUUAAUUAUUGCGCAAAUUAUUACCAAAAUAAAAUCUAAUGUUUAGAUA